GCCUCAGUGGCUUAAUGGCAGAGCAGUUGGUUUGUAACCAACAGGUUGGGGGUUCAACUCCCUCCUGAGGCU
This 72-nucleotide transfer RNA is filed under the name Nanobdellota archaeon. Its description in RNAcentral is "tRNA-Thr". It matches the Rfam family "tRNA". From Rfam's summary of the family: Transfer RNA (tRNA) molecules are approximately 80 nucleotides in length. Their secondary structure includes four short double-helical elements and three loops (D, anti-codon, and T loops). The record is from RNAcentral. Lineage: Archaea; Nanobdellati; Nanobdellota.